ACAGAACGAGUCGCGUGCCCUCUGAGAGAGUGCCGCCGGUGCGUUUGCACCUGCUGAUAUUUCACCAUCGUGUCUCUCUCGUGAGAGCGAGGCUCCUCCCCCGCAGAAGGCUCUCGCGCGACUGACGCGAGACGCCUCGAGACAGCAAUUCCAACGAGAGAGGGGCACCGACGCAGGGACGUGGAAGGGGCAAUGGGGGUUGCCGAGUUGAGGGCUGAAGGGGGGCUCGAAUGCGUGCUCGCUGCUGCGCUCUGACGAGCUGCUCGCGCGACGGCGCUCCCCGAGAUCCGGAGGAACGAGGAGAGGGCGAGCGGCCGAUACGAGAAACUCUACACAUAGGCGCAAGUUUCCAAACCGUGGCUCAAAAGCAAUUCCAUUUGCCAAAUAACUUUUGGGAUCAACUGGGUUUGAAUCUUCGAUCAACGCCUACACAAUCGACCCUAAAUAUCGCGAUGAUGGAUACACAAAAUCCUACAAUAAAUUUGCAGCA
Venturia canescens is the source of this 490-nucleotide long non-coding RNA. RefSeq lists it as uncharacterized. The transcript is spliced from 3 exons. The record is from RefSeq and is a predicted model, not a curated record. Lineage: Eukaryota; Metazoa; Arthropoda; Insecta; Hymenoptera; Ichneumonidae.